GCAUGGUUCAAUAUGUUCAAUAAGGCAUUGUUUACCAGGUGAGCGAUUCAGGCUCUUGAGAGCCUCUUGUUUUUCAAUUGCAUAAAUAUUGUGAAAAGAUAACAUAUUUUUUCUAUGAAGUUUGUCGCCCACCUAUUACUUUUUGGCCUGUUUAAGAGCAGACAAUAUUAAGCUGUUUGGUAGAUGUGCAGACAAUAUGUCUUUGGUUCAAUGAAUAAAUAUUAAAAACUGCAAAGUAAAAGUUUGUUUGUAAGACAAAAAUUCUGUCUUAUUAUCAAUAAAAUAAUUAAAAGUUAAUAUAAAAUUGAGUUAUCUCCCCUUACAAGAAAAAUAUGAAACCAUGAUAUGAACAUUUGGUUAGUUUUAGGGUACAGGCAAUAUAUAUAUAUGUAGAGGUUUAGAAAAUGUAUGUUAUUUAUGAUUGUUGUUGUUGAGAUGAAAAUAAGUAAUGAAUAAAUGACCGUAAAUGUUUUAUGUCUUCUGUUCUGCUUACGGAAACACAAUUUAAUUUUGAACCAUAUUAUUAUCUUAAAUUUUUGAACUUUGUUAUUUCAGAGUUAUGGGACUUCAAGCUUCAGAUUUACAAAUAUUUCAUGUCAUACACAACCUUUAUCAAUA
This 618-nucleotide long non-coding RNA is filed under the name Mytilus galloprovincialis (Mediterranean mussel). The record is from RNAcentral. Lineage: Eukaryota; Metazoa; Mollusca; Bivalvia; Mytilida; Mytilidae.